GUCCUUUUGAAUUUAAUUUAAGGUCUGACCUGCCCAGUGAUAAUUUUAACGGCCGCGGUAUACUGACCGUGCAAAGGUAGCAUAAUCAUUAGUCUUUUAAUAGAGGGCUGGAAUGAAAGGUUUAACGAGGAAUUGACUGUCUCAUUUUAUUUGUUUUAAAAUUUAAUUUUUUAGUUAAAAAGCUAAAAUCUUAUUGGAAGACGAGAAGACCCUAUAGAGCUUUACAUAUAAUUAAAUAAAUAUUUUUAUAUUAAUAUCUUUAUUUAAUUUUGUGUUUUGUUGGGGUGACAAAAAUAUAUAAAUAACUUUUUUAUUUAAUUAACAUUGAUUUAUGAGUAUUAGAUCCAUUAUUAUUGAUUAUUAGACUAAGUUACCUUAGGGAUAACAGCGUAAUCCUCCUCCAGAGUUCAUAUUUACAGGAUGGGCUUGCGACCUCGAUGUUGGAUUAAGAUAAUAAUUAGGUGUAGCCGCUUAAUUGAUAGGUCUGUUCGACCUUUAAAUUCUU
Molecule: ribosomal RNA, 505 nt
Filed under: Orthetrum sabina
Lineage: Eukaryota; Metazoa; Arthropoda; Insecta; Odonata; Libellulidae
Description: partial 16S rRNA
Rfam family: Bacterial large subunit ribosomal RNA
Source: RNAcentral